This is a non-coding RNA of Xyrichtys novacula (pearly razorfish), 26864 nucleotides long. NCBI's taxonomy places the organism in Eukaryota, Metazoa, Chordata, Actinopteri, Labriformes, Labridae. The record is from the annotation of a GenBank genome assembly.
GACAACAUUGUUGCAUCUCCUGCAGAGAGACGUGCCUAUCAGCCAGCCGGCAGGAUCGAGGUAAAUAAGCCUAAAUGCAUGUACAUGCUACGUGACAGGCUUCUGUCAGAGCAGCAGGGGGGCAGUGGCACAGAUCUAUUCUGCUCAGCUUUAACUCACGAUCGUGAGGGUUCUCUUCCAUCCAAGGAAAACAGGACCUGUGCUUCUACAUACGAGUACUUAAUGAUAGCUAAGGACAUGGGAUUUUUCCCUCCUUUCCAUUAACCCUCAGUCAUAACACAGUGUCCUCAUUUUAAUGUGUCUGCUUCUCCCCUCAGUUUUCCUCUGUAUUAAAGAAUUACUGCUGUGCCCCCUCUUUUUUUCCUUUUACAAGAUAAUAAUCCCUCAAGUGUAAUUGCACAAGCAGAUUUCCUGCUGUGUAUCAGCCAGUAAAGUAAUGACUCAGACCACGGAUGUUAUUUGUUACCACUAUCUGCUCCGUCCAGGUCAUUAACAUUAACAAUUGGCUUUGGAUCAGUUCAUAUUUUAGUGUCCAUUUAAGAUCAGAAAGGGAGGAAAGAGGGACAGCAGCAGAGGCCACGUCUUAAUUAAGACUGACUUAGGAGUCCACUCAUCAGAAACAAGGCUGGUCUUUUACUUUGAAAUCAAAGUCCCAGAGUGGCUGGCAUCCUCACUUUUUCAAAGAUGGGUCAUUAAUUGGACACAUCUGUUGGAGAAACCCAUAAGAGAUUAGCCUGGUCUCCAGAAUGCUGUUACUUAGUAAUUAGGCUUCUGUCCCACUCCGGACAAAGCACAGCACCGCCCUGAGAAAACACCUCAUAUUUCAGGAGGUGAUGAAAUUCAUUAUUCAUUUAAAGCAAUCGGCCAGCUCUGCUAUACGUAAGAAAAGCAACAUGAACAUGGAGAAACAAAAUGCAGUGGUCAACAAAAAAAAAAACACGUACAAAGUCUUUGGCAAAGAGUGUCAGAACAAGACUUUAAAUAACUACUUCAUGUUAAUUAUUGAUCUGAUUGAAUUUAACUCAAACUGGCAGCCCUGUGGAGGACUGUGAUGUGUUAUGAUCCAGAGGACAAAACUAAUCUUACAAUGAUCAAACAUCAGACUGGUUCAUCCUUUAGAGGGUUUCUUAAGAGAAACAAAUUUCCAUUAAAAUGACAAAAUAACAGCUUGUUGUAAAAUUAAUUUUCCGAGAAAACUCAUCUGUACCUAAAAUGGUAUAGCCACGAUAAUGCAGCUCUUCGGCGGUAGUUGUCAGCCUGUUGGUCAGUCAGUCAGUCCUGCGGACUUUUGCAGACAUCCUGUUGUGAGCAGAUAAACCCUCCCUGUGAUGGGAUCUCCUGACCCCUGCUCUCACAACAGCUAAAGGUCAAAAUGUUCACCUGAAAAUAAAAUUCUUCAUAUUCACACAGGUAGGUUGGCCAACACUGUGAUUCACACACUCAGCUCCAAAUAUAGCUAGCUGUAAAACCAAAAACAUUUCUCUCAGCCUCAGGUAUACAUUGUGUAUAGAAGAAGGGGAGACUGGGUGCGGUUUUAACAUGCUUUGCUUCAGUGCCUGCAACUCACUGAAUUUUUUAGCUACAGUUCUCAAACUUGUGCACAAAGUAGCUUUAUUUGCUGACUAUAAACAGAAGAAAUUUAAACCUCUGCAAAAAUGACACAGCCCUCAAACAAAGACAUGACACCCAUUCAACUCAUACUAUUAUGAUAACAUGACACUGUCAAACUCUAGACAAUGUAAGCUUGCAGUCACCCGAAGGUGUGUAGUUUUAGAGCUUCUGGUGUUUUAGUAUGAGCAUCUGCAAACAUAGUGAGACAUUUAGGCAGAGGUGAGCACAGUGAAUCAAAGCUUUAACUCUAUUAACUUCUAAGAUGUCAUUCCUUUAAUAUGUUUAACAGAAGUGAGCAUUUAUGGGAACUUAAAAACCUGAUAAAAGUCAACAGUCCUCUCUCCUCCUGCUGCACCAGAGAGAGUCCCCUUGACUGAGGUCCAGUAAUAGAUUUGAUCUAAACAUAUUGGGCUCUAUUUUUAUGUACGCCGGUGAGGGCGGAGGGCGUUUGGACACACAACCUGACCUAAUCAACACAGCUGAAACCGCAUUAAAUUAAAUUAAAUAUCUAGUAAAUAGACACACAUGAUAAAGUUAACAAGAUAUGUAAUUCCUCUCCCUCUUUUCUUUCUUCCUCUUCCUCUUAUUUCUCGCACAGCUCGACCUGGACAUGUCUCCGUGUCCUCUCCCCGUCCUGCUGCAGCUGCUGCUGCGGCCGCUGCUGCAGCCGCUUAACAGAUGAUUUGUUUCAGUGCUCAGAUGAGUUAUUUACUUUAAGCCUACACAUGAAUAUUAUAAUAUUCAGUUUUGUGAGCCAAAUUUAUUUUAUAUGCCAACAUCUAUGAAAGAAAGAGCCAGGCCACCAAAAUACCAAAUUGUGCUUGGGAACACCUUGUAGGCACGGCGGACCUGACUUACGCCGCGCCUGUGGCACGUCUCCGGCAAGGCACAAAAAUAGAGCCCAUUAUAUCCAUUAAGACCCCUGUACUUCUUUAAAUCUAUAUAGGCUAAAUGAUAUUGCUCAAGUUGUUUGUGAUCCAUUACCAUUCAGAGAUUCCUCCUCUGCGUAGAUCCUGCUGAUGGGAAUUCAGGCUCUUAUCAGUGAUUCUGGCUGGCAACUCAGCAUCAUGUUCAACCCACUAAUGGCUCUUCAUGGGAUAGUUUACAUACAACAGAUGGGUUUUGGGGAGGAUUUCACACCUACAUUCAUCAUUUGUUCAAGGCUUUCUGACUUUUCUGUUCCGUCAGAACCAAAAUGACAGGUGUAAAACCUCCCCUGGACCUUGUUCUAAAGUCUAGACCAAACAGCCAGACUAUGAUCAUGUGCCUAAUUAGUCCAUGGCUUUCUAGGUGAACACCACAAGUAGUUUUUAACUGGUCAUGUCCCAUUUUAAUACACAGACACUUUCACAGAACAGUGAGACCGUCACCCAGGAAGGAAAAAAAACAACACUUUUUCAUGGUCCAUCCUAAUGCUGAGUCUAAUUUCCACACAGACAAGUUUUACAGCCUGUUUAUCAAAGGGUUAAAAGAACAUAAGGCAUAUUUAUAUAGAGUUUUGUUUUGACAACAGAUUUUCUGGUUGUGGCUGCAGCAGGGACAUAAACAAUGAAGGAAGGAAAAAAGGACAGAGACAUCAAGAAUAACCAGCUGAUGAUCAGACAGAUGCUGAAAAUAAAGAGAAUCCAAAAACUUUCCAGACCAAGAGGAAGCCCAUGCAUUUUCUCUUAAGUAUACAAUACGUCAUCAAAGGGAGUUUGAUAGUUAUGUCUAAAAUCUGUUUGCACACUGAUGUUUACAUUUCCAUACGGCAAACCAGGUGGAGCUGCUAUCAUUACUCAUCACUGAAAGAGUUGUUAGUUUUGAGUUAAACCGGUGCUUUGUUUCUAAUGGGUUUCUUUCACAGAAAUUCCUGCAACAUUUUACCCGAGCUUUAAUCCUAUUUGUCCCAUGUUUCUAAAGAAAUAGGGUCAUAAAUAUCUGACAAAACUUCCAUGCAUCUAAUGAUUGAGUCAACUCAAAUACUGACAGAGGCCCACAGAUCCACUCUGACUCUUGCCAUGAUGAGGCUUUAGGCUCUGACAUCCUCUGAUAACCAAGUACUCAAGGACUAAAAAAUAUGAAUUGCUUUCCUCCUUGGCUGAUGUAUUUUUUAAUAUCAAUAUAAAACAUAUUGAAAUUCUGAGACGUUCCUCCCCUUUGACUUUGUUGAUAUAUUUUUUAAUCAAUCACUUGUUGAAAGCUGCAAAAUUAGUUUGCAACACACUACUGAAGGAGACACGGAGAUGAAUACUUCCAAGUCCUCCAAAAGCUUGACAGUAAAAUCCUGCAGUGCACCCACUGAGAUUUAUUAAGAAUUAAUGAGUCAUUUACAAAGAUGUUAUCAUACUGUUAAUAUCAGAGAAAUGUAAACUGUAAAAGCUGGAGGGCUGUCAUAGAAAUCUAAAAACUCAGCAUCUUAGUAGAACAGAACAUGGUGAGGAAAUUUCAAAUAAAAUAUUUAUGCGUCUUUUUGUUUGGAUAGUAAUAGUGAAAAUUUAGAAAUCCAGCAUCUUACAUUAUUAGACAAUGUCUUCAGAUUAAUCAAAAGUUCAUACUGACAUUUCUGACUUCUUAGGUGUGUGUCCAUUUGUAAUUUCAGUGCUUAUUUUGGCCCCUUUACCACCAGUGACUUCAUCACUGUAGUGCAGUCAGCCUGUGGUCCUGCUGAGGUGGUACUAAAGCUCAAGCUGCUUUGAUAGCUCCUUCAGCAUGUCUGGAUUUUUAGAUCAUAGGUUUCUCAUUUCUCUUGGAAACACCCCGUAAUAUCAUAGUGAUCAUUUGGUAGGAAUUUUGGCGCUGUGGGCAGGGUCCAGGUCCUGCUGAAGAAGAAAAUCUGAAGCACCUUGGAUUCUGGGCCUCUCUGAUCUUCCUUCGGACUCUGGACAUGUCUCCGUGUCCUCUCCCCGUCCUGCUGCAGCUGCUGCUGCGGCCGCUGCUGCGGCCGCUGAGCAGAUGAUUUGUUACAGUGCUCAGAUGAGUUAUUUACUUUAAGCCUACACAUGAAUAUUAUAAUAUUCAGUUUUGUGAGCCAAAUUUAUUUUAUAUGCCAACAUCUAUGAAAGAAAGAGCCAGGCCACCAAAAUACCAAAUUGUGCUUGGGAACGCCUUGUAGGCUCUGGUUCAGGAAUCUCUUGAUCAUAGGACUAUGACACUUGUAGUCCAUUUGGGCCGGUCUGUGUGCAGAGGCUCUUGGUGCUCUGACUCUAGUCUCAGUCCAGUUCUUGUGAAGCUCCCCUAAGUUCUUGAAUCUACUUUGUCAGUCCUCUGAAGGCUGCUCUCAUCCCUGUUUCCUGGUCUCCUUCUCUUCCCUCACUUUUCCCUUCAGUCAACUUUCAUGAAUCUGCUUCAUACAGGCUCUGUGAACAGCAGUGACCUGCAGCCAUGAUAACUUUCUGGACAGCUGUCAGGUCAGCAGUCUUCUCCAUGAUUGUGGUAUACAAUAUUUUAGUAUGUUUGAAUAGUUAUGCACUCACACUCCAAAAGAAGUACUCGAAUAUUUUGAGGAAUGUAUUUCAACAUUUUCUGAGCUGUAGGCCAUAAUUACCUGAAUUGAAACAGAAAAUGUCUGAAACAUUUUAGCUUGCAUAUAAAGAGUCUUGAAUAUAUAAAAUUUUCAGUUUCUUCAGUGACUGACAGGAAGCAAUGAACUUUUUCCACAGCAUUCUUAUUUAGUGGGACACACCCAUAAUUAUUUUCUGUUGUCCCUUUUAAAUAUAUACAGUGCAUCCGGAAAGUAUUCAUGCACUGUAUGGAUGCACUGUAAAUUCCUUUGGAUAGAUGCUUAAUGUCAGCUGCCACAGAAAAGGCUUCAAUCCAAAGUUUUGAAGGUGCUGAUUUAUUUCUCAUGAUUUCCUUUAGUCUGGUUAAUGAUCCUAUCUGCCUGUAAUCUUCAGAAAGUCUUAACAGACUAUACUUAGACAGAGGGGACUCGUGGCAGGAGGAAAUAAUUAAAGGUCAAAGUGAGGUGUACAUACCUGUAUCUUACAAGCUGCGUUCAGAAACACUGAUUAAUAACAUCUUCGGAUAGAAGCUCACGUAUCUCUUAAUAGCUCAAAUGCUUUAUGAAAAAUAAUCCACCUCCAUGGACUUCUCACUUAUCAGACUAAGAAUGUAGGUUUUCUCUUUUCAGAUGCUCAUUUAUCUCUCAAAAGAAAGUGCUACAUGACAGAGGGAUGUAAUGGAUAUUUAAUGUCACAUUUGCAGCGUUUGUAUCAGUGUCUAUGGAAUUAUUUAAAUAAAAAAGCCUUGUUAUCUGCAAGUCCAUUUAGGCUUUUUGCUUAAUAUGGGGCUGUUAUCAACGGCACAGCUCAUUAGCAGAUUUUUGAUUCUUCUUUCUCAGGGCCAGGCCCUUUGAAUUUCUGUGGUAUGAGAAUACAGUCACCGCCAGCCCUGUUUCUCAGACAGAGACUUUAUUCCUGCAAAUUCCACUGUUCUGAACAUUAAUUUCACUGGACAGCUGCUAAAUGCUGCUAAAAUGCUUUGAGGAUUCUAUUUGCACCUCCUGAAAUGAUUUCCAAGCACAUUACCUCAGAUCCAUUAAAUCCAGCUUUGAAUCUCUUGACAGUUCUGUGAGUCCUCCUUGGAGCCACAUGUAACAUUCCCAUGUGAUUACGACGCUCCUUGAUCAAUCUGAGUGAAUCACUUCAUGAUUGAGCGCCUGACUCUCUCCAGUCUUGGGCCUGAAAUUGUCCUUUAUAGAUUUGGUAUUAUAUCUCCGGCACUCCUCCUGUGCCAUUAGCCAGACAUUCACAUUUUCAAUUUCACCUCUCUGCCUCGUCUUGCCUCCAGAUGAGGGUGACACUCACCAUCGCAGUGUUGACUUGUCUUCAUUUCAUACAUGCUGUAUGUGACAGCAACAGAUAUGCUUCAAUUUCACCAACAUUGCUGUUACAAGGACAAAAUAGGAAGCCAACUCUUAACUCAGCUUUGUUUUAGUGCUGAGAAGUAAUCUAAGCCUGGAAGACAGCUCCAGUCCUAUUUUCUCUAGAUGACACAGGUUGGAUGGGUGACUACAGGUCCAAUCAGGCCCUAUCCAUCACAAGCUGUUAUAGGCCGUGCAGGUGAGUGAUAAUGCUUAGAGGCUCUCAGAGGACCGCAUUUCAGCGUUUCAUCCACAACAGACAGCCUACGCCAGUGUGACCUGCUUGUUGAACAUUUUUCACAGGGAGGGGGGGCCUCAAUUCAGCAGAGCACUGCUGAGCUGUGCACAUCUGCAUAAGUUGCUGUCAGACUGAAGAUAGUAUUGUGGAUGGUUGUGUUAUCACAAAAGGAACAGCUUUUGUGGCAGCCUUGUGGAAUACUAAGUGUUUGUAUUUGCAACACAACAUCCAUCCCGAGGUAUUCAUUUCUUACUUUCUAUGGCCCUUGUAUGGUAAUUCAUCAUCCAGGUCUUGAUGCAUACUGUGAGAUUGCCCAGUGAAUUUAUUAGCCACCGGCUUUCAUGCCGCCGUAGAUUCCCACUGGAUAUAAAAGCUUUACGGACAUCAGACCUCAAUGCAAACUUCCCUGCAGAAUUUGUCACUUUUCUCUGCCCUCCUAAAGAACAUAAAGAGCCAAAGCCAGCAGAGAGGAAAUAACGGUUCAGACUGCUGGCGACCACUCUGUGGUUUCUUUGCUAUGCUUGAGCUUCAAAAGCAGGUAAUUUUGCUUUGGUCAGAGGGAAUGGAAAUAGCCUUGCUGGGCAAUGUGGCGGAGGUUUAAUAAUGGAAAGCAAGGUCUCAAGGGACAAGUCCAUUUUUCUGAGCAACAGACAAAGUCCAUUAUUCUCACUGUUUCUUUGCCUAAUGCAGCCUUUUAUUUGUAAGUGAAUAUCGGAGGUGGGUUGUUGCUACAGAUCAAAAGCACAAAUGUGUGCAACUGUGAGCCGUGUCCUGUAUAUCACUAUUAAGACACCUUGACAUAGAACAAAAAGUGUCCCUGGGCACAAACAUAUUGUGAAAGUGCAGCUCGCUCCUCUGUCUGAUGUAGGGUUGGGGGAUCUGGCUGGAAAGCUGGAAUGUUUUCUUUACGUUUAGAAGCUUUUUGUUCAAGAGUGAAAUUUAAAAAAAAACAGGCUAUCUACAAAGAAAAAAUAGAGACUUAGACAUGUGAUAAACCACAUAUGACACCUAACCUAAGACUCUUUGUUUUAGCGUCUGCCUGAAGCAUCUUGGGAAGUGUAGUCAGUGUAAAAUGGUUCAAUAACUAUCUCCACUCUCUCUUUUUCAACAUUGCUUAUUAUGGAUGUCCUGAUCAGCUGUUUUGGCCCUCAGCCGGUGUCCACUUUUGUAAUACUUGAAUACCUGUUUCAACUUUUGCCUUUCCUUUUCCUCUGACAAUUAAAUUUAUCAUUUUAUUACAUUACAGAUGUAGUGUUCACACUGCAUAUUUAAUUGGUUGCACUAUAGCAGUUGGACAGUGCCAAAUCUCAGCAAAGGCGACGCCUAGUCUAUGUCACCACCAGUCCAUAUGGAGUUUAUCCAUAGGACUGAACGGGACUGCAGACGAGAGACCACCAGGGACUCCAGGCUGGUGCAGGUUGUGACGUUGCUGCAUCGUAGGUACAGAAUUCACAUAAAAUUUCCGUCUGCAAAUGACGUCUGAACAAAGUACAUCAUUCACUAAGACAUGACACACAGACAUUUGCAAUGCUCGUUGUCACUACACAAGCUGUUUAUUGUCCAAAAAGAUCAACUCUAAACCAUGAUUUUUAUUAAGAUUGGCUAGAAAGGCACUCUGUGAACAUGGUGACAAAAUCAGACUUUACACUGAUUAACAAAGGUGGAAUUACAUAUCACAGAGCUGGCUAAUGAUAGAUAGAAUUAGCUAGCCAGCCUGCCACCGAGUCUUUUCCUUAACUUUAUAUUUACCGUCAUGUUGAAAUUCAAUGAAUAGAUUUAUGCAAUUUUUCUAAAUUUUCCCUCUGCUUGCUGAGUUUUUUAGUUUACGACUUUAUUCUCAUAAUUUUACGACUUUAUUUUCAUAAGUCACUUCAUUCUCGUACAUUUACGAAUUUAUUCUCAUGAAUAAUGUCUUUAUUUUUGUAAAUUUACUUCAUUCUCAUAAGUAAUGGCUUCAUUUUUGUAAGUUUACAACUUAUACUCAAAAGUAAUGACUUUAUUCUUGUACCUUUAUGACUUUAUUCUUAUAAAUAAUGUCUUAAUUCUAGUAAGUUUACUUCAUUCUCAUAAGUAAUGGCUUCAUUCUCUUAGGUUUAUGACUUUUUUCUCAUAAGUAAUGUUUUAAUUUUCCUAAGUUUAAUUCAUUCUCAUAAACAAUGUCUUAUUUUCGUAAGUUUACUUUAUUCUCAAAAGUGAUGACUUUUUCUCGUAAGUUUACAACUCUAUUCGUGUUAGUAAUUACUUUAUUCUUGUAAGUUUAUGACUUUAUUCUUAUAAGUCACUUCAUUCUCAUACAUUUACAAUUUUAUUCUUAUAAUUAAUGUCCUUAAUGUCCUUAAAUUCACUUUAUUCUCAUAAGUAAUGGCUUCAUUCUCCUAAGUUUACGACUUUACUCUCAUAAGUUAUGACUUUAUCCUUGUAAGUUUAUGACUUUAAUGUCAAAGUCUUCAAAAAAAAAUUUCUCAAUGUGUUCCUAAUACUUUGUCAAAAUGUUUCCCUCAACAGAAUUAUGAUAAUAUAAAUAAUGAUAAAUAUAAUUAUCAUCGGACUGCACAACCCUAGCUUAAAGUACUUCUUUGUCAGAGCACUCCACAGCAUCCCUUUACUGGAUGAAAGUAAAAAUGAAGCAUUUCUGUCAUCUCAGUUAUCAGACAUUUCUUGCUGUGCAUUAUGAAGCCUUUUAUUAUCUAUUAUUACAGAGUUCAUUUGUAUUAUCUCUGGACUGUGAUGUUGUUAAUUACUGUAAUGAUAUAAAACCUGAGGAGGUGGCCAACCACACUAUUUUUUUUGUUUUUGUGUACCUGUUUUUGUGUUAGGAGGACAAGUGCUGUUAACCCAACUCACUCUUGAUUUACAGCUGCUUGUAUAUCUGCUGUAGUCAACAUAUUCAUCACUGAAAGUGACAUUGCAUUAUGCUGACUCUCCCUCGGGGAAUGUUAACAUUAAACAUCAUGCUCAUGCAGCAUCAUGAAAGCCCUGAGGGGGCUUUGCGGGGGAAGAGUGUGUGUGAAAACUUCCAUAUUAAAAGCAUUAUAAAGAGCAGAUUUUCCCCUCCCACCUCCCUCAUGAAAAAUGUACAGCGGCAUAUUCAUUACUUCAUUGAGCUAACUGAGUGUGACAAGCGGAGAGCUGCAGCAGCCGGGGGCAGGGAAGCAGCACUACAAUAAAGCCUUGGGCCACUCUCUGAGGACAUGGCUACCCCUGCUGCUCAUAGGAGCUUUAUCUUUGCACUCUGUUUGGAUUUUUCCAAACGGCUGAGGGUGUCAUACACAGCAUGAAACUGCAUUCACUUCAGCCAAACUGCUCACUAAUCUAAUGCAUGCAUGGUCAUUGGGGGGUAAUCAAUUCUUUUUCUUUACAGUGUGAUGAAUCUGACCUAAGAGCUAUGACUCAGGGCCCCUGUGCUAUAAAUAUGGUCAUGCAUUUUCAUCAGUUUACAAGACAUACAGGCGUAAUCCCAGAAGUGUAUCCAUUAAGCAUCAGGAAAGCUCUUUAUUCUUACAUGGCUCUGUGUGAGUGUGACUUUCAAAAGAUGUUGCCGUACAGGUACUUGCAAGCAUGUCACGCUGCAAAGCUUUAAUUCAGGACAACUUAGAAAAUUAAUAUGUAUCACUUUGUCUCAUUUCUCCAUUCUGAUACAUAACAGUUUGUGGUGAAGGAUGUCUUUGUCCGUUUUCUCUUCACCCUUGGAUUAUCCAUCCACUGUGGCUCAUAUCCAUAUAGUCCUCUGGCCCUGUUCAGUCUGAUCCUAAGGUGACGUCUUGGCUUACCCCCAGCCCUUGUUGUCUGAUGAACAAAAAUAAAGCCCUGCCCAGAGCAGCAUCAGCCUGUACUGUCUUCAGUCAUAACACUACAACUGUGACUUUGCUUUGUUUACCCUCUGCAGCAGCAUAAGCAGCAGCAGCAGAAACAACAAUGCCUCUUAAUCCAGAGCAACAGUUUCCCUCAGAUGAACGCAGCCGGCACAAAUUAACAGCAGCUGCACUGAAGAACGGGGCCUCACACCAUUGGUGAAAUAUGGGGUUUAAAUAAUACCUAAGAAUGUGUCUGGAGAUGGCAGACAAGCUGACUAAUAACAGAAUUCAGUAACAAGAGCUGCUCCAAUGGUAAUGACUUCUUACUCCAGAAAUAUCUAAUCCUGCGAAAAAAAAAAAAAAAAAAGGAGGGAAAAAAAGCGCUCGUCUCAGGGUGAGGUUGAUAUUUAAAUUUCUGCUACAGGAAACUGAGAUAAUUGGAUACAAAACACGGAGGACAUAUUAUAUAUGAAUUGUGUGAUGGGAAUAUUAUAUAGCAAUGAUUAAUGGACCCUGAAUGUGAUAAAUCGCGUGGACCCCUGAAUUAAUAAACCUUAUUUAUUAAAGAGGAAAAUAAUGUAACAACAGUCGAGCCUACAUGAAACAUACGACCACUGCAAAAAUCCCUGUCCUGUGUUUUUAUUCUUCCAACAAAUUCAAAAAGAAUUCACCAAAUCUCACAAGUGUCAUUCCAGCUCUCUUUUGUGGAGGGACAUUGAGUGGGAGUGGGGCAUAUUCACCACUCAGCUAUCAGAAAAACUCUAAUUAGGCUAUUUUUAACACAUCCUUUUCAACAGCUCUUGGGUGUUUACAUUUGCUAAUGACAGCCUGAGUGAAAUCAUCUAUCAGCAAGCAUCACCAUCAUCACCACUGACACAUUAACAUGGAUCCUCUGCAGAGAAAGAUGCCGCACAGCCUGGCUGCUUUUUACUAUAUAAAGCAUGUAAAUGUACGUCCUUAUGUCUGUAUGUUUACUUGGCACAUUUACAUUUGCAGUUUUCAUCCCAGACGACUGAAGCAAACUAAUUAAUAGGCACAGAGGCAAAUACUAUUUGGUGUUUUUUUUGCUCCAGCAAACACAAGACAGCUCUUUAAAGCUCCAGAUUACACCCCAUGUAAAAACAUUUUUUGCAUCCAUGUUAUUUGCAUAAUUUUCAUUUUGUUUAUAGUCAGCUUUGAAGCAGAGCUUAGGUUAGGAGUCUCUUUGUCAAUGCACACCACCUCUGGUUGAGAAAAAAGCCUCCUUUAGCCAGCAUGCACACAGAAGAGUCAUAUCGGUGUUUUUCAGGCUCUCCCGAUGUUUCUGCUGAUGCUUAAAGAGACUUUGACAUAUUCAGGGUUUGCUUUAUGGUCACCUUGUUGGGCUGUAAUGAUUUUUUUAAUGCCAUAAUGUAUCAUCAUAAUAUUCCAGCUGGGGAUUGCAUUUUGGCAAUGAUAUUUGUGGCCUGUCUUUUAAUUCAGAGGGGACAGGGGAGAGUGCUCUGACCCGUUUUCUAGUUACCAUCCAAAAAUAUCAUCUCCAUCACUCCAUCUAGUGCUCAUACUGAGGAAGGGCAGACAACUGCUUUAGAAAAGAGGAGGCGUCCGUAGAAAGAAUGCAGAUCAGAAAAUCCUCGUACUUAAUCAGCAGGAGUGAAAGGACUACUAAAAUAUCCUACUCAAGAAAAAGUAGAGUUACUUCAAUGACUGCGACAAUAACAAUCUACCCAAGCAAAAGGAAAAGGUCGUUAUGUUAAAUGAGCUAAAAGUACAAACAUAGGUGAAGUUAUUGAUAGAUAUUCACAGUAAAAGAUACACAUGACUGUCAUUAGUCAGGAGGAUGAUACAACAAGUCAAAAGACCCUAUACUUCAACUUUUAGAGGAUAAGAUAAGGGGAGACUGCCCUGUACUCAGGGGCGCCAAAAAUUGACAAACUGAAAGUUCCUCAUUAGAGUUUUAAAGAGUGCAGAGUACUCAUAUCACUCUGACCCAUGGCAGUGCUGGUAUAGUUGGAGUAAGAUAUGCCCCUCAAACCAUAAAAAGCAUAUUUUCACAAAUCAAUUUUUGGAAUACAUUGAACAGUAUUACUGAAGGAAGUGAUAUUGACUCUGCAGUUAACGACAGUGACACUACUGGAGAUUUUAGCAGCAUUUCUCUGUAAUUCCCUUUGUAUAUGGUCCCUGCAAACUUGAGGGUUAAAUUUAGACCUCUCAGUGCAGCUGACGACAUUUUUUGGCUGGAAAUGAAACAGAUUCACUUUUUUUUUUUUUUACCAUAGACAUCAUUUAAUCAGGUGGCUUUUAUGCAGUUGAUUUAAAGCCUAAAUGUUCAUUCACUGGUGCUUUAUCAAAUUUGACUAAGUGCAGUAUUUUUUGGGUAAUACCUUAGUGAAAGUAAAAGUACUGAUUUGAUAACAACACGUAAAAAUUACUGUCUCUGAUACAUUUUGUCUCUUUAUUGUUAAUUUAAAGCUCCAGUGAGGAAUUUUUUGUCCGUGUUGAAGUUGUCAUCGAUAAUCCUGACAUUGUUGCUGAUUUCAUCUCAUCCAUAUGGAAGUAAUGUUUAUUAACAAAGAAAGGUCUAUCUGUUGUCUUUUUGCAGUGAAAUCCACCACUUGUUAUAAAUACUCAAGUAAAUAUUAACUAAGGCUGUUCCCGCCCACCUACCCCCUGACUGCAGCUGCAGACGUGAACAUUACAGCAUAGACAUUGUCAUUAAAGGACUUGUUAGUUUUUACACAUCAUAGAGACCAACCGCUGCUGGUUUCAUUCUGUUUCAUUACAUACCAAAAACUCCUCGCAAGAGCUUUAAUGCUUUUAGACUGUCCUGUGCUCCCUGUGUGUCUGUGUCUCAGUUGAAUGUGUUGAAUAAAGGAAUAAAAUAACAGUAAUCUUACUUAACCCUGAGGCUGGACUCAAUCCUCUCAAUAUUAUUUGCCACAAACACAUUUUUUGAGAAAUGCUACACGGAUAAAGUUGUCAUUAUGAGUGUGGAGUGAUCGUCCAGACACCUUGGCUGCUCCAGACAAAACAUUUAUGUUUUUAAGUUUUUCUCAGAGUGAUAAGUUACUCUAUUUCUCCAAAAUAUAGCAACUCGCAGGAAACACUUCCUCUCCUGAGUGCUGCCCUGAGGUGGAUUAUUGGUGUGUGACCAAUUAUCUGACUGGCUGAACUUGGGUUGGUAUGCGGCUUGUGUGUAUCCAGCAAACCCUUCUGCUAUCUUUCACCCUCCUGCUGGACACGCUCCUAAGUGAGAGGAUGUGGUGCACUGAAUGCAGGGGUGGAGAGGUUAAAGGUCAACAGAAAGUCAUGAGCUAACAUCAUGUAGCCUCUGUGGUGUACAUUACCUCACCUCUGUAGUGAGAGGUCACAAAAAGCCCCUACUUCUCAUGUGACCCUGGAGAGCUGAGCAAAGACCAGGCCUGGAGCUCUAGGUGCAGUGUGAGGAGCAGCACUUACUAUUAAAAAACAACAGUAAAGAAUAUAUAGAGUAACAGAGUAAUUCUUAAAUCUUCACCUGAAAAAAUGUGUGGUCUUUCUUUGAACCCCCUACUAAAUACACAGCAGCAGACGGGAUCAACCUAGCCAGUCUGAGGCACCAAGCACCAAAAUCAAGAUAUCAAAAAGAAGAAAGAGCCGAGGGGUAAAAUGAAACUCAUUUGUCACACAAAAAUAAGCACAAGUCAAACACUUUUAUGCUUUAAAAAAAAGUUCAUUUGGUGGCAAUAUUUAGCAUCUUCCCUGUCUGUUGGCCUUGAACUGCUGUCAACAGAUUAAGUGUGAUCUGUAGAUUCCUAUCCCAGGUGCCUUGAAAACUACUCCUGCAUCAAAGCUAUCUUUUGUUAUUCUCGAACCAGUUCAUUUGAUCAUCACAAUUAAAUGUAGAUGUCUGCAAGAUCAUUUCUGCCAGAUGUCACUGCUCAUUACAGCAUAUUCCAUUUUGUGCUUAGAUAACCAUGUAAAAUAUGAAGAUGUUGUAGAUAGAUAACUUAUAAAACUUUAAAAUGCGUGACAGGAUAAUGCUUUUAACAUUUAACACAUCCUCAAUGAAAGUGACUGUAACCACAAAAUAUGGAGAAAAUAACUGUCAUGAUCUUAUAGAUGCUUGAACUGGUUAUUAUAUUUGUUGCUAGUGUGUAGAGAUUUGGUGGUCUCUGUAUUUACACUUUUUAAAACACACUAUAUUAAUAAGUUGGAUGAAACUACUUGCUUACAUGUAAAGGAUGAGAAGACAGUCAAUGAAACUUUUAGGAGUCAGGUAGAGAAAACUUUGACAGAGAGUAUAAAUCAAUCUUUAGUUUCUUUUGACUAUAACAGUGUUUGAACUUCUUGACACUCUUCUGUCCAUGUAGUGUAAAAUAUGUUUGUUAAAUAAAUAUAGCAGACAUUGCAUUAUCAUGUUUUCUCUUUUGUAAUGAAACCAAAUGUUUAGACUGUGACACAGAGUUGUAGUUAUUAAAAGCUUGUGUAAUGAAUGUGAUGGUGUCUAAAAACUAUUGGUCUUAUCUCUUAUUAGAGCCAGUAAGCAUCCCACUUUACUUCCUCCUUAGAUGAUUUGUUGCUUUAACCUUAUUUGUCCGUGAUACUUUAAGUGCUUCAAAACAGCUACGACAGAUUUCUGGUGCUGCAGUGCCCCCUCCUGGUCAAUUAAAAAGAAUAAAUAUCAGUGCAGACACAGUUUGCCCUACAUGAGUGUGGGGUAAAUGCUUCAUCUGCCAAUAUGCAGUCCUUAAAUAAAUCUCAUUGUUCCUGUGAUGGAAAAAAAUAUAUACAUAUAGUCUCUGUAUUUUGUUGUGCAAUUUGUAUAACAGUUCACGUCUCAGUCUGGAGUUGGGUCAUAAGUUGCUGCUCGAACAUCUUUAUUGUGUUUUUGUGGAGAGCAGUAAGUCUCAGACACUCCUCUGAAAGGAUGUAACACCAUAAUCUAAAUGAUAUUCCUGCUGGGGAGGUCUGCCUUAGAUAUAAAAUCCAGAGUAUUUGUUUUUGUUUAGCUCAUGAUGAGUUCAGCCUUGUUGAUGAGAGCAGUAUCUGAGGUGAAAACUAGUGCAGUGCAGUGGGUGAUUCAGAGAGAGUUUCAUCUCCUGGUUUGUCCAGCGGAGUUAUCUCAGCGCUCAUUUUUUACAUCACUGUUUGCAUCCACAGUUGCAAACACAACAGAGCAUGGAAGCUGAGCAAACUGUGGUCUAUACUUGUUAGAGUUAGUUGACAAUGUGAAAUAAUGUUAAAUGUUCUUCAUAAAAGUUGUGUGUCAGAUGAAGCAGUCCUUCAAGUAUCUCUACACAGUCACAGAGCUACAUGGUGGUACACAGCAGCAGAACCACAACUCACAAGGUUGUCUGUUAUGUGAGUACAUAGUAAAUUCUCCCCCUAUAGUUCACAGUCAUAAAAUCCCAGAUGGGCCAGACUGUGGCCGUUAUCCUCUCAUCUGAGUGCAGUCCUUGUUAUCUCUUACACACAGUUGCAAUGAAAUUACUGCAUCAGAGUGAGCAGUCUCUGACCACAAAAGAUAUGUUUGCCUUUUGGAGCAAGAAGUCAGUUUCUCCUCAGUCACCGUAUGGUGCUGUAGAUUUUGAAGCAACAAUAUAUAUUUAUUUUAUCUUUGCUUCAUUAACAACAAUCCUAGGGAACCAAUCGUAAACAGACAUGUGUCUGACAUCUAUAGAUGUUACUAAGACAUCCUUUAUGUUAGUGAGAUGACCCAUCAUAAAAAGUUCAGUCAUAUUUAUGGUAGUUAGAAAAAAAGCUUAUACAGUACAUUUAACAUUAAAAUGAUUCACAAAAACAUUUGCAGGAUGUCUGAAAUGGAGCUGUUUUACUAUCGGCACAUCCGUAAAAAUGAUCAUAUUAAAAAGUUAAGAUUCUAGGUUAAAAUGCAUCCUUGCUCACCCUUGAUUAUUUGCACAAUAGUAUUACUCUCAACCUUGUCAAAAUUUUACAAUUUUUCAAUACAAAUACUAUUGCUCACAAAAAAACCCACUUUCUUUUCUUCAUAUUUCAUCUGGUGCAACUUGAGCAGUCCCAAACAUGGAGGUGUAAAAUGAUGACCUCCUCAAGAAGCGGACCUGUUCCUGUGUGGAUAUACAUAUAAGGCUCAUUUGAAGUUGAAUGGACUAAUUUAGAUAUAUUCACAAAUAUUAUUUUUUUAUUUUUACAAAGUCUGUUUUGCUCAAUGCCACUAAUAUCACACGAUGCACCUUCAAAAUGAGUCUGUAGAUUUUUCCAGGUCAGGUUCCACAAACAUAUAAGUUUUCUUGCUAAAUUCAGACUUUUGGAUCCUUGUGACACUCAAGGUGUAUGAAACGAGGUUAUAAAUGCCAAACUAACCAAAGCCAACAAUUAUUCAACAACUGGAUCAUCUGCAUGCCAGAAAACUCCCUCCAUCUCUCAGACUGAACCAGAAAAAGGACCUACAGGCAAAACUCAGAGACUGGAGGAAAAGUCAGAUUCAUUCAGUUGGACAUGAUUGGGUACGCAGAGAAUCCAAAAAUAGAGGCAGUGGUAUCUGAAACGUCAGGCAAGAAGCAAAGUCUAAAAAACAUUUAAAGGUCAGAUCAAGCUUUACAUAGACACCAGCAUGAUUUACUGACUCCAGGGUAAUAUUUUCACUCCCUCCUCUCCUCUCCUUUGUCUUUUCUGGUAAAUCAGCUGGAGGAGCCCUCAUUUGUCGACAGAGCUGUCAGUCAUUCAUCACAUCUCCAACUAAACUUUAACCUAUGUCCUAUCCUUUCCAGCCCUUCAGCCAGUCAGAAAGAGCUUGAACAGUUUUGGCCUCAUUUAGGAGUAGAUUUUCUCAGCAACUUCCUGAGAGGGUCUUAAAUUAUCUGGGUAAACUGCAUUUGCAAACACAAAAUGCUGACUUUUUCACCCUUUUCUCACAGCUCAUGCUAACAAGUAGGUGAGUGCUGAAGUUCAAAACUGUGUCUGGUGUUUUGUCUAGUUUGUAGAUGCUGCUAGUUUUCACUGUUUAUCAGUCUUUUCAGCUCAUAAACAGAAGUGAGUGUACUGCAUUAUAUCAGAUGGGUGGGUUAACAAUGCAUUGUACUUAAACUGUAUGCAGUUGCCACAGCUAUAAAAACAGCAUCACCUGUGAGACAUUAAGUUUCAUCACUACAACACUACAAUGAAUGACUUUUAAUUUACCAACAGUUUGCAUCUCUGUACUGAUGAAAUUUAUGCUUCAACUCUUAAAUUAAAAAUUCUUACAGUCAGCAAGCCUCCUCCUUUUUCAUCACCCCAACUUGGGAUUUUCACCUCCCCUCCAGACAGACUAUUGCCUCACCAUCUUCUCACCCAUAACUGCACCUGACCUUUCCAAAUUCUUCUUCGGCAUCAAUAUCUCCUUCUGCCCUCUGGACCCCACCCCCUCAGUCCUUGUCAAAGCCUGUCUACCCUGUCUGACCUCACUCAUCACUGGCACUGUCCUCCUCCCUCUCAAGCUUGCUACUAUCACACCUAUCCUUUAAAAAGUUUGGCCUGAACCCUGACAGCCCCAACAUUUUCAAGCCCAUCUCAAACCUCCCAUUUCUCUGUGAAAAUCUGUAAUGUUAUUCAAGCAAUACUUCCACUACAACCGACUAUAAGAUACACACUCUUUCUAAUGUUUUAUGUCCAGCAUCCAAUCUAAGUAUUCAAACUGCUCUGCUUAAAGUCAUCCAUGACCUUCUUAUCAUUUCUGGCUCAGCCCUUUUUUGGUUCAGAUCCUACCUCACAGAUGGAUUUCACAAUACAUCCAUUUAAAAUUGCAAAUUCCACACCACCCUAUUACACAUGGUGUCCCUCAAGGCUGUGUACUUGGUCCUCUCCUGUUCAUCCAACCCCUCAGUUUUAUCAUAUUCCACCUUGGACUGUAAUUUCACCACCUUUGCUGAUGAUACCCAGAUUUUACCUCUCAAAAAAAUUUACAUUUAAAAAAUGUCCUUAUUGCAAUAAUUGAUGAAAAUACAACCGUCAAUGUACAGACACGUGUGACACAGAGGGAACAAAAAAUGAAACCAAGAUAUCAGUUAAAUCUGAAGACCUGUGUGGAGGUUGGUUUUAGAAACUACAUUUAGAUAGUUAAGUUAGCAAUGCCACCCUUUUUUUUUUUUUUUUGAAAAGCCCUUGGAUAAAAGUUCAAAAAAAAAAAAGAGAGAAAAUGCUGCAGGACUAAAUUAAACAGGGCUGAGGUCACUGCUGAGAGGCAGCCUAAGAAAAGUCAACUCACCUCAAGUGCAGCACAGCGACCUCACACUGCUAACAACAGCGUUGGUGCAGACUGUGUCCCCGUGCUCUUCACUCGUAUGCAAAAGGUGGAGGACUCUCAGCCUGCGGGCCCAAGACUCCCAACUAAGUGAUGCUCAGCUGCUGAAAGAAAUUUGAAUGAAAAGUGAAAAAAAGGAAUAAAACAACCAACAAAGCCACUCUACUCACCACCUUAAGGCUUCAACUAGUAUAUAUUUGACACUGAGUCAGGAAACCAUGGGCCCAGAGGGGAAGUAAGAACUGAAAAGCGACAAAGCAUCUCAUCAGAAAGGCCAUAUAUUACCUGCUGAAUAGAGGGUUGGUGGGGAAGCAGCUACACAGCAGGCUGCAAUCAGAGAUCUUGAGACAUAAGCAGGAUAUACUGGAUAUACAUCUACCAAUAACAGAAGAGUUCAAAUCGAGGAUUGUAGUUUAGAUAUUCGAUAGACAAACAUUUGGAAUAAUGUCCUGAAAGCUUUCCAUGUCCCUCCAUCUAUUAGAAAAGACUGUCAGUGUGAUUCUUUGUCUCAGCUGCAGUUCAGAUCCAUCUUUCUGGGUGAUUCAUGUUCCUGAUUUUACCCCAAAUUCUAACAUUCAUGUUAACACCUUAUUACGACUCCAAUUUCUCUGCAUGGUUAAACUCUGAUUUGUGCUGUAAGUGUUUUCUAUGUUCUUAUAGGUCAGAGCAAGGACAUGAAUAAUCUGUACAACACUGAUGGAGACUUUGAUCAGAUAAUGUUUCUUUUUUUUUUAAAUCUGGGUUAGCUAAGCGGGUUUUGUAAGGUUUCUUGGCCUUCCUCUCAUACAAUAAUAUUUAGUCUGAAAAAUAAUGUGGGUCUGCCCACUCCUCUGCAGAUAUCACAAUCUCUGUCUGCAGGCCUGAACACCUCACUGUAUGUUUCUGUUUUCUUCCCCUGUUUCUUGAUGAAAUAAUAUGACGACACAGAAAAGUCAGAAAAAAUCUGACACAAUUCACAAUGUGGGAGUAGAUACACAGAGGAAAAAGAUAAGGAAAGGAAAAAUGGAGAAAAGACACAAAGAGAUUAAUUGGUAAUUGUUGUGUGCAUUUUUCACAGUAGCUCUUCUGCUUCUCAAACCUGAGACAUUUAUCCUCAACAUUUCAUCACAUCACUUUUAUGUGUUUAAAACACUAGGGUUAUCUCAAAUGUCCACAGGAGGGCGUCCUAAAUCACUCCCCUCACUUAAUCAUACUCAGUAAUUCUUAUGAAUACAGAGACUGUGGUGGGUCCCAUUCCUACAUGACAGAGAAGUCAUUUUAAAACGGCAUACUGGUACUUUUUUUACGGAAAUUAACAGGAGGUUUAUCAUGUUAGAACAGAAAACAAACAAAAACAAAACAUGAGAUGCUGACAAAAAUGAAUUAAUUUCAGCAGAAACCUUCUGCAGAAAUAAAUAUGAAACAUCAGAAGGAGGAUUUUGGUUCCUUGUGGGUCCUCUUCCCAACAGAGGCUGUACGGAAACAAACAACAGAAUAAAUUUUAAUCUAACCAUUGUCUUCUGAUUUUUUUAAGCAAAAACAACAACAACAGCAACAACAACAACAACAUAAGUAUUUAAAAUAACAUUUCCAGAUAAAUUUGUUCUAAUUAUGAAAAAAAGGCCAAUUCAACUUGAACACAUUGGCUUAACAUGCAUUUACAGUCUAUCUAUUCACUCAACAGUUUCUCUUUUUCACUCAUGGCCAAAUGUAAAACCAGACACCUCUCGGCUGUGAAAUAAAACCAGGAUCCUUGACUCUUUAUGUGACACCGUCUUCUUUGUUCAUUUAUAUUUGAGUUAGCUUUGUUAUAUUUCUAAGUGUUAAAUCGUUAAAAUAAUGCUGUUAGGAACUUUACAUCAACUGAGAUGAAAUAAACGCAAAAUAUUGAUUUAUCACAACAUUUGGUUUAACUAACUCACAUGACUUAAUGUUUUAACACUACCAAGAGGGAUGCCUUUUUCUGUUCAGGCUAGUGGACUCAAUAUGACUAUUCUCCAUUUAACUCUUAAGACAAGAGAGUCAAAAACAGAUGACCUUAUUCUUACAGACAGAGAGGAAGAAUAUUUGAAGAAACAGGAAACAAUUGAUGACAAGAGGGUAAAUUAGAGGGCAGCAGUGAUCCUCAUUGAUAGAGCAGAGAUGUUACAGCAGAUUUCUCUUGAUGCAGUCUUUUUUUUUAAUACAGUGACAAUUUACUACCAAUGUAGAGGAUUUACAGAAAGAGCAGAUCUGGACUGACUCUUUUCUUUCUUUUUUUUUUUUUUUUUUACCACAUCCUUCAUUUAAAUGUGUAAAAAUCUAAGGAAAUGUUCAGUUUCAGGAUGACAGAGAUGUAUAUAAAGUGUUAAAAGCUUUUUUAACAUUAAUAAUACUCUUUAUAGAUUGAAAUGAAGACCUGCUCUACACGUCACAGGUCACAGUCUUUAAAAUCCUCACUUCAAACAGCCGAUAAUGCAACAAUUUUCCCCUCAGAAGGUUAACCCAUUGGAAAAACAUGGAUAUAUGAAUAGAAAACAAAUUUGGAUAUGAUGUGGUUAUUACCAAUCAGUUAAAAAGUAAAAAAUAUAUAUCCUGCUGAACUUUCGGUGCCAGGUAAAAUGUUGGGGAGGCUAAAUUUAGGUCAGUGACAGAAUAUGGUGAUUUUUGUAUGUUCAUGUAUCUUCAUCCAUUCUACUGACCCUUGAUUCAGUUUAUCAUACACCUCAUCAUCAUUUCAUUUCUGCGUAAAACCCUCUCUAACUAUUUCAUUCUUUAUCAGGUUGAACUUGAUAAGUGAUUUGGAAAUGGGAUAAACUUCUCUUUCCCUCUGCAUACCCUUUCCAGCACCUGUUACCGCUGAAAACCUCUUAUGUUUUUGGAUAUUUAUUAAAGCUGCUGACUAUGAUGAUUUCCCUAUGUUGUGUCAUUUCUUACAUAUUUGUGAUUCUGUCUAACAUCCACCUUGGCCAAGAAGAAGAUUUUGAACUCUACUGGGACUUCCUAGUUAAAUAAAGGUUAAUAUAAAAAUAAAAGCACACUUCACCAUGUGGAGCCAACAUCCCUCUGCUCUAGGAUUGCUGGCGGUGUGUCAGGAUGUGUAAACCUGUUUCCUAGAUGGGCCCCACUCAAGCAAGCUUUACUGGCUUUUGGAGCGAGCAUCCCCAGAUGGCUGAAUCCAGAGCAGCUCGUGGUAAUCGUGGUUUUUCACAACCUAGAUCCAUUUCUUGGUGCCCAACACCCCCUGAGAUCUGUUUCCUCUGCUGAUGAGGCUGGCCUCCAUAUUUUUCCCCUGAAACAGAAAAAAGACGACCAGUUGGAUUGAUAAAGUGUCUGCUGCAACGGUAGAAGGUCCCCGGAUCCUUGCUGGCCAACGCUCUGUUAUUGCACAAGAGGCUGUGGGUAUUUUUUAUUUUUUUUAAUGUUGUCCUUUUUUAAGUGUCACUCUGGAGCACUCCUUUUUUUAACAUUUAACUGUAGUUGUGACUACUUUAAUCCUAGACACUAUUGGGUGAUAAAUGUCUUAUUUACAGAUGUAGAAUGAUGUUUUUAAUUUUACCACACUGUGCCCUCACCUCAUAUGUGACCACGGCUCCUCUCUGCACCUCCUUCCUGAGACCUGUGCCAUCUCAUACACUGCACAAGAAAGCCUUAGACAAAAAGGUGAGAAAGUUCUGAUGGUGCCAGCUGCCUUUUUAUGCCAUCUAAUCUGUUUAUAUGAAUAGGCCUAUAAUGAUGUGAUGUCAGUGACUGAUUCAGGGUGAGUUGGAGAAUAAUGAGGUGCCCCAUUAUCAUAAUUUCCCUGAUUCAGAUGAGUGGUUUUCUAACUCUGGGUGGUGAGCUCUUGCAUUGUUGCUUCAAACACUCGUGUUCUCUCUCUCGCUCUCUCUCUCUCUCUCUCUCUCUCUUGCUGUGUGGCUGUUUGUGUAGUUCGGCCCACACUAUAUGUUUAUGUCAUGAAUGACAAAUAAAUGGAGCACUCUGAGAACAUUUACGAGGUGGUAAGGAUUUUCCUCUGAAAAUGACACUUCCAUGCUGCAUUAUCAAACCUGUGAGAGGUUUUAAUAAAUCUGUUAUGAGUAACAUUUUGGUUUUAAGACAAGUGGAUUUUCUAAUUUGUCUCCAGCCUGCAGCCUACAGCACUCAUCAUCAGCUAAAGGUGAUAGUUUUCCGCAGAUGUGACUGGAGUGGUAACCAACAUUAUUAAGUGUCUGCCAGCGAAAGCUUGAUGUCUGUGGUUUGUGCAGCUUCACGCUUACACAGGAAAUAGGGAUGAGUUGGUUUUCCUGUUUCUCUUCAUCUGUAUUUUGUUUAGAUUCACAUAUCAGUAGGAUUUUCACUUGCAGACUCUGAAUUAACUACGGGACUGAGGUUAUGUGGUGUCUAACAAAACACUUUUUUAACUAAGUCACCACAUUUUGUAAAUGGUUUCAUAUGCUCAAAAUUUCUGUCAGAAAUGUUUUACAGGAGUGGUGAUAAGAUUAAAAAUUACAUUUAGAAGUAUGUUUGAAUCUAUUGUAUGUAAAAUCACCUGGAAAUAAGACAAGUUUUGCUAACUUAAACUGGUCCUUCAUUAACUACAUAAAGAGUGGCUCCCUUUUAAUGCAGUCCGCCAUCUUACACACUGAACAGACAAACUUGAAACAGCCAUAAUGAGUGUUUUUGUGUUUCAUGAGUAUCAGCAUGAAAUGCAGCAACUGAAAGACAAAGGAGAAAGUGAUUGUUGCGCACAAAAAGACAUUGAUGGUAAAACCCUGUCAAAUGAAGGAUUAAACUUACGCAUUACAGGCUUCUUGUCCUUUUAGGCCACCAUCACUUCAGCAAGGGCAGGGGUGAGCAAGGUGGAAUUUUAGUGUAGAACCUGGCUGCUAGAUUUUGUCAAAUACUCUCUUUUCCACAGACUGAGCCUUCAUGAGGAAAAGUGUUAUUCAAGUUACUUUAGAUAUUUGUUUUUUUACUCACCACAUUAUUCAGGUAGCCUCUAGAAAGAUAUUAAACCAUGAGAGUUACUUGUUCAGUUACUCUACUUCGUUACUCUGUCCAGCCAUGUCAAAGUAGAUCCAAUUUUCCCAUUGUUCACCAGGUGUAGUUCAAUGACACCAUGUAGCAUUUUGGGGGUCUUGUCCUCCUCAUCACAAACCCCUCAACUAUGAAUAAAUACAAGUGGCAAACAGAGUGAUGGAUAGUUGCAAAGUAAAUUUACUCAGGUUCUGCACUUGAAACCUCUGUGGUUGAAUGUUAGUGUCGAUUUUUGCGCCCCCAGUGGCCAGAACACUCUUUGCUUGUCUACGUAGCUACAUGUCUACAUGUCUAAGUACGUGGUGUUAUCUGACAAAAAUCUCAUCCUGCUGACGUUAGACUACUAAAUGUCUCAAUAUUGUGUACUGUGAAUACUCCAUAUGUAAAAUGUCCAAACAGGGCUGUUUGUCCAGGUGCUCUGCUGACACCUUCCUCUGGUUUCAGGCAUUAAAAAUGACAACAUAAAAUCAAAAUUCCUGUAGCUGACAGUCUUUUUUUGCUUUGUUUCAAUACAAUUUGAAGUCUCUUGCAUUUAUGUCAAAAACUCCUCAUAGCAGUUUUCAGUACAUUUUUCAAGUAUCUGCACCUCAUUUGAAUGUACACUUUUUGGGGACACUUUUUCUCAGUUACUCCACAUCAUUAGAAAGACAAAAACUUGACUAUUACUUUACUACAUUCUAUGAAUCUUCUUGUUACUCACAACCUUUGCUCUGAAGUCAGCUGAUGAAUUUUCUCUUAUUUCCUAAAAUCAUACACUGAGGAAACUAAACUGUGUUUGUGAAGCCCUCUGUGUGGUUUGUCUGUAUUUUAAGCCUCAUGUAUCCAUGGUCAAACGUAGAGCAGCUCAAAGCAAACACUACUGAGCUCAGAGAGUUAAUUUGCUGUUGGUAAUGACGCCGCAAUGGAGAAGAAAGAUGACUCUACAUCUUUGGCCCGAGUUUAAGGUUUUCGGAUGAAGAAUAAGUUGUGUUGUUCAGAUGUUUACUCUAGAAUAUGAGUAUUGUGUCUACACAGUCUUCAUCAUGACCUCCAAAAAGGAUGUUAAAGCAUGAGACUGAACAUUUGUGUUGUUCCAGAUGAACAUUUUAAACUCAGUUGUCUGUACUUGCAGUAACUUGGUUGCUGUUUUUGAUUCUGUGACUGGUUGUUUCUAUUAUUUUGGAGCAGCAAACCUGGAAAUUUGCAGCAUGUGAGACAAAUUUCCAAACAAACAUCACAGAGCAGAAAGAACAUCCAUGAUUUCUUAACUGUGGUCAUGCAGAGAGAAAAAUCAACAAUGUUUUAAGUUUAUAAUGAAAAAAAGAUUUAAAAUGUUGGUCUUAUUACAGUUUUUUAUCUAGAAGCCUAGCAUUUCAUGACCAGCCACCACCAGUAAAUGAUAAAAAAAAAAAAAAAACAAUGUUAAAUGCACUUUAAUUCGUUGUUUUUGGACAUUUUGGACAAAACAAGUGUUUGGUGAAAAGCUCAACGUCACCUACACAUGACAAUGCAGCUGGAAAAGCGUUGUAUUAUCUCCUCUUGUAGUGGCUUGGUUGAAACGGAUAUUUACAGACACUUAGAAGUUAUGCACUAUGAGCUCUAUUUUCGUGUCCGCCGGUGAGGCGGCAGAGGGUGGCGGACCCCGCGCAGUGGUGUUUUCGUCUGGCAGGGCCAGGUGUACAGCCAGUUUGGUAUUUUCGUGAACUGAGGCGCACCAAGGUCCGCCAAGCUGGGCGUGGUGGCGUGGCAGAGGGAGGUGUCGACAGAAUCAGCUGCCGCCGUGACAUUUUCGUGCUCGCCGGUGGCGUAUAAAUUGCGCUGAAAGCUCGCCGAUUCAAACCUGGUCAGCUUUCAGCGCAGGCGGAGUGCAGCUGGUCUAGUGGUAUUUUGGUAGACCUGCGGCGUAUCGGCAUACGUCACUGAUGCCUCACCGGCAGGUUUCCACAGUUUCAGGCACAUUUCAGUGCAAUAAAUAAUCAUCAACAACUAAUAAUCUGAGUCAGCACAUACAUUUAGAUCUAUAUAGAUCUAUUCUGAUCUAUAUCUGAUCUGAUGAGCGCGUUUGGCACGUGUUUGGACACACAACCUGACCGAAUCAACACAGCUGAAACCGCAUUAAAUUAAAUUAAAUAUCUAGUAAAUAGACACACAUGAUGACGUUAACAAGAUACGUAAUUCCUCUCCCUCCUUUUCUUUCUUCCUCUUCCUCUUAGAGCUCAAAAUAAGAUGUCUCUGUGUCCUCUCCCCGUCCUGCUGGCUGCUGUCCUGUCCUGCUGGCUGAACAGAUGAUUUGUUUCAGUGAUCAGAUAAGUUAUUGGUUCCGAUGGUUCCGAUUUUAAUGCCAUUUUUGGAAUUUAUGAUGUGAUCUGUGAGCACAACCCACCUUUGUCACGUGAGGUUUGAAUAUAUGCAACUUAAUGUGAGUGUCUUUAUUUGUGGAAAAGGGUGUUUGUAUUACUAGUGGCUCUAACAUUACACACACCAAAUACAUCUGUGCUCAUAUGAGAGAGUGUGGAGGACGCCCUCUGCAGCGCUUACAGUGACACUUGUUGAGGGGCUGCCUUCUGUCGCCAUUGUGUAGCAUUACUGUCUUCAGACAUCUCUUGAUUUCUUUGACUACUGCACGAAAAUAGUAAUACGACUCGCCGGUGGCAGAUUUAAAGGCGAGGAGAGGAGCUGAUGUUAUUGGUCAAUACAGGUCUCGGCUGUGUUAAACCCACUCCACGCCCUCUCUCCUCCCUCCCUAAGACUUACGCCGCUGGGAGGAGCUGAGUUAGGGAGGGGGGAUACUUACGCCGGGCUGCGCCACUCACCAAAAUACCAAAUUGUGCUUGUGAUCGCCUUGUCGGCACGGCGGACCUGACUUACGCCGCGCCUGCAGCACGUCUCCAGCGAGGCAUGAAAAUAGAGCCCUAUAGCUUUAAGACUCUGCAUAAAAAUGUUUUUGCAGAGGCAGCUUGUCUGAGAAGAUUAAAUGUAGCUGUUAUCGAUAAAGGCAAACAGAAUCAUAUACUGUUAUGUUUGACUUCACCAGCUGUUCUGUUCAAAAAUGCUCAAUAUGUGAAAUCUAAAUAAAGUCUGAUUAAAGUCUUCAUCUACAUCUGUCUAGGCUUGAAUGUGGCCGUCACAGUCAGGACGAAGCAGCAGUUUCUGGGUUGCCACAGAAAUGGCGGCGAUGCAAGAUGGUGCCGCACACGCUCCGGG